UGUCAGUUGCCAGGGUAAUGCUCUAGUGUGGUAACAGCAGAGCCAUCUCCAUCCUGUCAGGUGCCAGGGUAAUGCUCUAGUGUGGUAGAGCCAUCUCCAUCCUGUCAGUUGCCAGGGUAAUGCUCUAGUGUGGUAACAGCAGAGCCAUCUCCAUCCUGUCAGGUGCCAGGGUAAUGCUCUAGUGUGGUAGAGCCAUCUCCAUCCUGUCAGUUGCCAGGGUAAUGCUCUAGUGUGGUAACAGCAGAGCCAUCUCCAUCCUGUCAGGUGCCAGGGUAAUGCUCUAGUGUGGUAGAGCCAUCUCCAUCCUGUCAGUUGCCAGGGUAAUGCUCUAGUGUGGUAACAGCAGAGCCAUCUCCAUCCUGUCAGUUGCCAGGGUAAUGCUCUAUUGGCUCACUGAAAACUCCCUGCCAGAAUCCCAUCCCUUCCACAGCUCCAAAUAUGCAGAUUGUUAAGCUGCUUCGCGGCACA
This is a long non-coding RNA of Oncorhynchus keta (chum salmon), 468 nucleotides long. RefSeq lists it as uncharacterized. The transcript is spliced from 4 exons. The record is from RefSeq and is a predicted model, not a curated record. NCBI's taxonomy places the organism in Eukaryota, Metazoa, Chordata, Actinopteri, Salmoniformes, Salmonidae.